AGCCCUGCACUCUGAUUGGCUGGUGAAACAGUCUGUCUGCAGCCAAUCAGAAGUCGUGGGUUUGA
Molecule: microRNA precursor, 65 nt
Organism: Astatotilapia calliptera (eastern happy)
Lineage: Eukaryota; Metazoa; Chordata; Actinopteri; Cichliformes; Cichlidae
Source: Ensembl